GAUGAAGAACGUAGCGAAAUGCGAUAAGUAGUGUGAAUUGCAGAAUUCAGUGAAUCAUCGAAUCUUUGAACGCACAUUGCGCCCCUUGGUAUUCCAUGGGGCAUGCCUGUUCGAGCGUCAUUUGUACCUUCAAGCUUUGCUUGGUGUUGGGUGUUUGUCUCGCCUUUGCGUGUAGACUCGCCUUAAAAUAAUUGGCAGCCGGCGUAUUGAUUUCGGAGCGCAGUACAUCUCGCGCUUUGCACUCAUAACGACAGCGUCCAAAAGUACAUUUUACACUCUUGACCUCGGAUCAGGUAGGGAUACCCGCUGAACUUAAGCGUAUCAAUAAGCGGAGGA
RNAcentral lists this unclassified non-coding RNA (336 nucleotides) under soil metagenome. Its description in RNAcentral is "partial contains 5.8S ribosomal RNA, internal transcribed spacer 2, and large subunit ribosomal RNA". The stretch from base 1 to 120 matches the Rfam family "5.8S ribosomal RNA", at positions 35 to 154 of the family's 154-position model. The record is from RNAcentral.